This 465-nucleotide ribosomal RNA is filed under the name uncultured bacterium. Its description in RNAcentral is "partial 16S ribosomal RNA". It matches the Rfam family "Bacterial small subunit ribosomal RNA", at positions 338 to 795 of the family's 1533-position model. The record is from RNAcentral.
CCUACGGGUGGCAGCAGUGGGGAAUAUUGCGCAAUGGGCGAAAGCCUGACGCAGCGACGCCGCGUGAGGGAUGAAGGUCUUCGGAUCGUAAACCUCUGUCAGCAGGGAAGAACGGUCACUGUGCUAAUCAGCAGUGAAUUGACGGUACCUGCAAAGGAAGCACCGGCUAACUCCGUGCCAGCAGCCGCGGUAAUACGGAGGGUGCGAGCGUUAAACGGAAUUACUGGGCGGAAAGCGCUCGUAGGCGGUAUGUCAAGUCAAGGGGGAAAUCCCCGCGCUCAACGGGGGAACUGCCUUUGAAACUGGCAAACUGGAGUGUGUGAGAGGAUGGUGGAAUUCCAGGUGUAGGAGUGAAAUCCGUAGAUAUCUGGAGGAACAUCAGUGGCGAAGGCGACUAUCUGGCACAUAACUGACGCUGAGGAGCGAAAGCGUGGGUAGCAAACAGGAUUAGAUACCCUAGUAGUC